Molecule: ribosomal RNA, 465 nt
Filed under: uncultured bacterium
Lineage: Bacteria
Description: partial 16S ribosomal RNA
Rfam family: Bacterial small subunit ribosomal RNA
Source: RNAcentral
GACGAACGCUGGCGGCGUGCUUAACACAUGCAAGUCGAACGGAAAGGCCCCUUUGGGGGUACUCGAGUGGCGAACGGGUGAGUAACACGUGAGUAACCUGCCCUUGACUUCGGGAUAACUUCAGGAAACUGGGGCUAAUACCGGAUAGGAAUCCUUGCUGCAUGGUGGGGGUUGGAAAGCUUCGGCGGUUUUGGAUGGACUCGCGGCUUAUCAGCUUGUUGGUGGGGUAGGGGCUUACCAAGGCUUUGACGGGUAGCCGGCCUGAGAGGGCGACCGGCCAUAGUGGGGCUGAGACCCGGCCCAAAGCCGCAGGGGAGAAGGAGGGGGGGAAUUUUCCACGGGGGGGGAAGGCUUAAGGCGGCAACGCCGGGGGCGGAGUGCGGGCUCCGGGUUUCCAACCCGUGUUCGGAAGGGGCGAAGUUUGUGGUGAGGGUCCAGGAGAAAGAAAAACGGGCAAACAACGUG